Galeopterus variegatus (Sunda flying lemur) is the source of this 440-nucleotide non-coding RNA. The record is from the annotation of a RefSeq genome assembly. NCBI's taxonomy places the organism in Eukaryota, Metazoa, Chordata, Mammalia, Dermoptera, Cynocephalidae.
AUGGUUAUCCCACUUACCCAUCUGCCCAGCACUGGUGGGUACAGGAGACCUCAGAACUGCUCAGAACUGGAGCAAGUGUCCAAAUACCUUGUAAGGUGUCCGUCCAAAGCUUUAAAACUGUAGUCAUAUACUGGUACCGGCAGAAACCAAAUCAAGGUUUAGAAUACCUAAUAUACAUUUCGACAACCCCUGCUCAAGGUCACUUAGGUGGGAAGACGAACAAACUCGAGGCAAGUAAAAAUUCUCGCACUUCCACUGCGACCUUGAAAAUAAGUUUUUUAGAGAAAGAAGAUGAGGCCACAUAUUACUGUGCCCGUUGGGAUGAGCACAGCAUUAGAAUUGCUGAAAUAACCUACACAAGAAACUCUGCAGUGGAGAUGUCCCCAGUGCCUGAGUCUCAGCAGACCUGCCUCUCACCUAACGUGCACAUAGGAGCACAG